UAGUGGUAGCAUUGUUUCUGAUGAAGAAAAACACCCUGGUAGCUUUAACUGACCUACUAGAUCUAUACUGGAUCUUAAUUCAAUCGUGAAGAACAAUGAAGAUAUAUGUUCCAAUUUUAUUAAUGUUUCUAUGGCUGCAGCUGGAUGGGGUGAGCCAAGGCGAGCAGCUGGAACAGCAUCCUUCCACCCUGAGCGUCCAGGAGGGAGCCAGCGCUGUCAUCAACUGCACUUACACAGACAGUCUCUCAUCCUACUUUCCUUGGUAUAAGCAGGGCCCUGGAGAGCAUCCUAAGCUCAUUAUUGACAUUCGAUCAACUAUGGAGAGAAAGCAGGACCAAAGACUGAUAGUUUUACAGGACAAGAAAGCCAAACACUUCUCCCUGCACAUCACAGACACCCAGCCUGGGGACUCUGCCAUGUACUUCUGUGCUGCAAGUGCACACUGCUCCCCAGGCACCUGCAGCCUGUUCUCAAACCUGCCACAGGGCCUGGAGCCCCAUCCACAUCCUGUGUCACAGGCCUUCCUGUGCAGCAUUUGUCAGUUGUUAGUUGUCAAAAGUCAAUUAUAGUGUAGACAUUAAAUACACAGAAAAGAAAGUUAGCUUCAAGUCACUCCAAACAAUUUAGGAGAAAUUUCUCCUUUUGUUUUUAAAAAUUAUUCUAAAACUUGAAAUACAAUUUUGUCAUUCCCUGCCUGUAAUGCAGCACUGUACUUCAGAGAAGAUGAGGUUGUAGCAAACACAGCCACAGGUGGGAUAUCUCCAUUACACACCCUCCUCCCAAGGUCACUGAGAAAGAGGUGCAGAAAGGAUGCCAGAACCAUAGUCAGGGGAUGAAACAAAGAGACAGUGUUUCCUGGCCACAUCAGGGCAGCUGCACACAUGAACUUCCAGAGGUCUACAUCAUGCAUAAGACAUGCAAAGGUUCAGGCCUGACACAAUUGCAGCAAG
Molecule: non-coding RNA, 950 nt
Organism: Mesocricetus auratus (golden hamster)
Lineage: Eukaryota; Metazoa; Chordata; Mammalia; Rodentia; Cricetidae
Source: the annotation of a RefSeq genome assembly